CAGUCGCCGCGGUAAUACGGAGGGGGCUAGCGUUGUUCGGAAUUACCGGGCGUAAAGCGCACGUAGGCGGCUUGGUAAGUUAGAGGUGAAAGCCUGGAGCUCAACUCCAGAAUUGCCUUUAAGACUGCCGAGCUAGCAGGUGAGAGAGGUAAGUGGAAUUCCGAGUGUAGAGGUGAAAUUCGUAGAUAUUCGGAAGAACACCAGUGGCGAAGGCGGCUUACUGGCUCAUACUGGACGCUGAGGUGCGAAAGCGUGGGGAGCAAACAGGAUUAGAUACCCCGGUAGUCCCUGUCUCUUAUAC
This 301-nucleotide ribosomal RNA is filed under the name uncultured bacterium. Its description in RNAcentral is "partial 16S ribosomal RNA". It matches the Rfam family "Bacterial small subunit ribosomal RNA", at positions 509 to 807 of the family's 1533-position model. The record is from RNAcentral.